Molecule: long non-coding RNA, 585 nt
Organism: Neofelis nebulosa (Clouded leopard)
Lineage: Eukaryota; Metazoa; Chordata; Mammalia; Carnivora; Felidae
Exons: 4
Source: RefSeq, a predicted model, not a curated record
UGCUGACCAUCAGGAGAGCAUUUGCAGUCAAAUACUGCACCAUGUCCUUGGCCUUCAAUCUGAAAUAUAUUUAACCAACAAUCAGAAAGUUCCAUUAAUCCAGAACGAAUGGGUUUCUCCCUGCAACCUGUCAAUCAAACAGAGGUGGCCAAUCACCACUCUGAAUUUUUUUUGCUCUCAGUGCUUCUUCAGACUAUGUUCCAGUUGAAAACUUCUUUAGCAGUGUUCUGAAAGAGGUAAAAGUUCUACCCUAUCUAAAGCACAUCUAGGGACUGAAUUUCAGAAAACAACUAAAAUAGGGAGUCGACUCCCUAACAAAUAACAACUAAGGAUGAUUUUCAACAAAUGCGAUUGGAUUUCUGGAUUAGCAGAAUCGGAACACACACACAUUAUCAGGUAUCCCUAAUACCUAGGAAGUAGAUGUUUUAAAAAGUGACGAUAAACAGCAGUAUUUGAAGAAAACUUCAUACAGUGGUUAGAGACAAGUGGACAAUGCUGCACAUACUUACAGUAUGGAACUCCAAUUCUGAUAUUUUCUCUGGCUGACCUGAUCCAAAAAAAUAAACCCGAAUAAUAUGAUCCGUG